Molecule: long non-coding RNA, 2178 nt
Filed under: Mus musculus (house mouse)
Lineage: Eukaryota; Metazoa; Chordata; Mammalia; Rodentia; Muridae
Description: long non-coding RNA chr9:56479216-56481394
Source: RNAcentral
GUUUUAUAUGUGUUUGAUCAGCUUUUUAUUUUGAAAUCAUUUCAAAUGCACAAAAAGUUACAAACAUAGAAACAGUACAAAGAACAUAAAGAAACCUUUUAAACAGCUUCUCUGUUGCUAGCACUUCCACCAUUUUUUUUCUCUGAAUCAUUUAAAGGCGACUUACAUAUAUGCUGGCCCUUUACCCCCAGAAGACUUUUGUAUUUCCUAAGAAUAGGGAUCCUCUGUUACAUAACUGAUAAAGUCAUCAAGUUCCCUCUUUCAUGUUAACAUAGUGCUGUGUGUGCUCUUGCCUGCAGACACUGAGGUAAUGCCUUCCUGUACAGCAUCCCUUCCACAGCAUCCCUUCCUAUGGCUUUAACAUAGUACCCGGCUGUGCUUUAGUCAGACAUGUGUGUAGUCAGUUGUGUGUAGUUAGACAUGUGUAGUCAGAUGCCUGUAGUUCUCCUCAGGCCGAUCCCUGGUAUAGCUUUGUCUUUAUAAGUUAUACCUUGAUAUUCUUAGAGAGUGAACCCUCUCCCUCCCCAAGCCUGACCCUUCCUCUGCCCCACCCCCACAUCUUUUGCUUUGUUUUUUAAGGAAACAUUCUUCAUUUCCUGUUUGUCUGACAUUCCCUCGUGAUUAGAUUGAUGGUGGACAUUCUUUAUCAGAAUAGAUGAUAUAUACUACCCAGAGUAUCACAUAUGCAGGCAUACCAUGGCCUUUUAUUACUUAUUUGUAAUUUUAUUGACCUGAUAAAGUUUUCCUUAUAAUUCAUAAGCAGUCUAUGGAGAGAUAUUUUAAAGACAUGUGUAACUUAUUUUAUAUCAAAGAAAAAAAAAAAACAUUGUGUGAUCUCCCCACACUCAGGCAGUGGCUCUCUUACCAGGUUCAAGGCCAUCUACACAGUGAGUUCCAGGAUAGCAAAGGAUAUAUAGUGAGACCUUGUCUCGGGGGGAAAAAGGAGAGAUUUAUAUGAUCUAAAGAGAAACCAGAGCCAGGCAUGGUAGUACAUGCCUCUAAUUCUAGCUUUUGGGGGGAAAAAAGAAAAGAAAAAGAAGAAAAGAAAAAAAUUUCCUCAGGCUUAAUAUCCACAGAUAAGUUUCACCUUACCUAAUCUUUAUUAUUAUGUUUACACAGUGCUAAAUUUUUGAACUCUUAACACUCCCACACAGUUAGUUACCAGUUGACCCUCAGCCUUAUUUUCUGUUCUUUCUUUCUGUCUGUUUGUUGAGUUUGGGGGGUUUUUUUGGUUUGUUUUUGCUCUGUGUUACCCUCACUGUCCUGGAACUUGCUUUGCACGCCAGGCUGGCCUCCAAUCAGAUCUGCCUGCCUCUGCCUUCCGAGUGCUGGGCUUCAAGGCGGCCCUCAGCUUUCUAAUCGACGGGGGCUCUACUCCUCCUCCCCUUGAAUACUUGCUUGCAUUCUGUUUAUUUUUGGCAUGAUCAUAAAUAAUUCAUAUCAUAAAGUUUAUUUAUGGUAUAAAUUUCUUUUAUUCCAGUAGUUUCUAAAUUAAUACUAUAGUUAGUUAUUUGUUGCUCAAAUCAUCCCAGACUUGGGUAUCUCUUACAUCUGCUGGGUGGGGGACAAGAUUUCUAACAUAACCUGAAUCUGGUUUGCUCAUUUGCAGGCAGCACCUUUCAUACUUUCUUAUACCUAAUUUGAUGAAUGAAAUGGGCAAGGCAAAACAAUUCUGGGCCAUAGGAUGAGGUCACUCUUCAUGUUCUCCAGCUUUAGUGUUCCACUCGUCUGGCUUUUUAAAAGGCCAGAGGAUAUAUGAGAUCAUUCACUCAAAAUGAGUCGAAGGUAGAGAAACAAACUAAUACUCCUUACCUUCCCCUGGGAACGUGAGCCUCUGUGGGGUUCAGACCUCUAAAGAACUCUAGUGGCCGUGUGAAAUUCUAUCUGCAGGGCUCAGGAGAUGGCGGACUGUAAGCUUCAUGAAUGUUUUAUGGUGGUGCUCUCAGUAGAACUUACCUUCAUUAAACUGGGAAAGGCAACACACAGUUUAGUCAGUCAGUCAUUCGUUCAUUUAUUCUCUAAAGGAUGUGUUUUGUUUAUUUAUGUGUGUACGUAUGUGUGCAGAGGUCAGGACAGCUUUCAGCACCAAUAACUGACUUCAACCAUAUGGCUCCCAGGGAUCAACCUGAACUUGCCAUAAUUGGUAGCAAGCCCCUUACCUACUGAGCCACCCCACCA